Molecule: long non-coding RNA, 2171 nt
Organism: Chinchilla lanigera (long-tailed chinchilla)
Lineage: Eukaryota; Metazoa; Chordata; Mammalia; Rodentia; Chinchillidae
Source: Ensembl
GUACUCCCUGUCCUGGUUCUCCAGGAAUGGGAACAGGGACCACCGGCUCUGAGGCUGUGUACAUAGCUCACACCAAACCCACAGAGACUGCUUGCUGCUGCUGUCACUCAGCUCCUAGCUUCAGUCAAGAUAUGCCUGGUUGUAACAAGUCAAGCCUGAACCACGUAGCAGGACCCUGUCUCAACCCCUGCCCUCCCCCCCCCCCCCAGAGCUGUACAGUUUGUGAGUCACUCAGCGCAGUGCUCCUCGUUUUGCUAUCGCUGGACAUGCAUUUCCUGGCCCAGAAGCCAUUCCUUGCAGAUGCCAGGGACCUCAGUUUGUCAGCACAGAGCUAGGCCCUGUGUAAGAGUUUUCCAGCCAGAUUUCCUGUGGGCUUUUACUCCAUAGAUGGUGCCAUACAGACCUUUGAUAGGUGGUUUGGAAUCCUGCAAGUCCAGCUGGACCCUCCCCGGGACCCUGGACACAACCUCCCGCAGGUGUCCUCUGUGGCUAGGCCCCUGGAGGGGGGCUCCCUGCUGUCCAUACUCCCUGUCCUGGUUCUCCAACCCCUGCUGUGACAGGAUGGCAGACCUCAGACAGCACAGCCAGCUGCCCACACUGCCUGCUGUGAAGGGCCCAGAUCGCCCUCCCAACUGCCUUUGUAGGUCUGGCUGCCUGUGCGCCUGUCCCUUGGAGCGAGGCUGGGAGGCUAGGGGCUGGAUCGAAGAGCCUCUGGUUUCCCAUUCGGUGGGAAUUUUGGUUGCAGGUCCCUUUCUUCAGACUUGAGACAGUUGGAGUCUCUGACCAGGUAGGACAGGAGAGGGUACGCUUUGGAGCUGAGGCCUCAUUGGUGCCGCUGAUCUCAGAGACCAUCUGGACUCUUAGGACUCUAGGAAACCACCUCUGCCCACAAGGAGAUAACACUAAGGAAUGCAUCAGAAUGGAAUUACAGACACAACUGCACUAGCAGCUACCGCAGCCUUUCAGGGCACCCUGGGAGCUCGGUGUUACCCACUGCAGAUCCACCUGCACCACAGGGACAGUGUGGCUCAGUGCUUCCUGUCCACAGUGUGCUGCUGGGUGGACACCACCUGGAUGAAUGAGAGUCCGGUCCCUGUCCUGUCCUACCUUGAUGGGCCUGUUUUCCCCCAUGGUUUAGCCCUAGCACUAGGAAUAGCACACCACGCUCAAUAAACCCUCAUGCACUGAACCCUUGUUCUGUCGUAUGUGUCUGGGGGAGCUGGAAGAUCGGGACGUGCCACAUGGUGUGCUCUGCUGUCCUACGUGAGCUCAGAUGGCCCCAGAACCUCUCAGGGUUCCAUUUUCUCCCCUAUAGAUGCCAAAAUAAAUCAACUCUCAGAUCCUUAUGGGAGAGGAUUUCUUGGUUUUUGCUUCUUUCUCUGCUAGUUUUCAGAUAGAAAAAACUACAUUUCCCAGGCCAUGUAAUGCACACUAGCUGAUGUGAUCCUGGACAAAGUUAAAUUGCCAUUCUGGGGGCUGAAGAUGUAGCCCAGGGGUAAAGAAUUUCCCUAGCAUGCAUGAGGCCCCGGUUUCCAUCUCCAACAUUGGAAUAAAUAUAAGCAAACAGCAAAAGUAACUAACAGCUGUGUGGAGUUUGGGAAGAGUGUAGAAUGCCGGGGCCCAAGUACUAAGCCUCUGCCUGCUUGCUUCCUCCUGGACAGCAUGGAGACUCCUGAUACAGCUUUCCGCUGUGCCCUUCUCCGGGGAAUCACUGUCCAGAAAUGCCUUGUAGGGUCCACUCUGCUGCCAAGGUGACUGCAGCCCAGGACUGACUGAGGCGGGCAGGGGUAUAAGGGCCUCGCCUGCCUCCCUCGGGGUGUGUUAUAGCUUGUGUCUAGAUGUCACCCAAACCCUCAUGCAGUCAUAGGUGGGGCUUUGUCAGAGGUGGCUGAAUCUAGAGUGUAGGACUGAUUGAUGGUGCAAUGCUAGGAUUAAGGGUGGGUGAUUGCUAGAUCAGUCCACUGAUUGUUUUAGCACCGCCUUAAUCCCAGUAGCCUGGAUACAAUAUAAGGGCAAAAAGAGGCUUGUCUUGUCCUUUGCUUGCUUUGCUAUCUUAUGCUUGCCGUGAACUUUUCUCUGCAAUUCCCCUCUGUCAUGCUAUCCUGCUUUGGAGCCAGCCAGUUAUGAACUGAAACCUCUACAAACUGUGAGCUAAAUAAACCUUUCCUCCU